Molecule: ribosomal RNA, 1347 nt
Filed under: uncultured bacterium
Lineage: Bacteria
Description: bacterial SSU rRNA
Rfam family: Bacterial small subunit ribosomal RNA
Source: RNAcentral
GACGAACGCUGGCGGCGCGCCUAACACAUGCAAGUCGAACGAGCGAGAGAGAGCUUGCUUUCUCGAGCGAGUGGCGAACGGGUGAGUAACGCGUGAGGAACCUGCCUCAAAGAGGGGGACAACAGUUGGAAACGACUGCUAAUACCGCAUAAGCCCACGACCCGGCAUCGGGUAGAGGGAAAAGGAGCAAUCCGCUUUGAGAUGGCCUCGCGUCCGAUUAGCUAGUUGGUGAGGUAAUGGCCCACCAAGGCGACGAUCGGUAGCCGGACUGAGAGGUUGAACGGCCACAUUGGGACUGAGACACGGCCCAGACUCCUACGGGAGGCAGCAGUGGGGAAUAUUGCACAAUGGGGGAAACCCUGAUGCAGCGACGCCGCGUGGAGGAAGAAGGUCUUCGGAUUGUAAACUCCUGUUGUUGAGGAAGAUAAUGACGGUACUCAACAAGGAAGUGACGGCUAACUACGUGCCAGCAGCCGCGGUAAAACGUAGGUCACAAGCGUUGUCCGGAAUUACUGGGUGUAAAGGGAGCGCAGGCGGGAAGACAAGUUGGAAGUGAAAUCCAUGGGCUCAACCCAUGAACUGCUUUCAAAACUGUUUUUCUUGAGUAGUGCAGAGGUAGGCGGAAUUCCCGGUGUAGCGGUGGAAUGCGUAGAUAUCGGGAGGAACACCAGUGGCGAAGGCGGCCUACUGGGCACUAACUGACGCUGAUGCUCGAAAGUGUGGGUAUCAAACAGGAUUAGAUACCCUGGUAGUCCACACAGUAAACGAAGAAAUACUCGCUGCUUGGCGAUAAUACAGUAAGGGACCAAGCGAAAGCGUUAAGUAUUCCACCUGGGGAGUUACGCCCGGCAACGGUGAAACUCAAAGGAAUUGACGGGGGCCCGCACAAGCGGAGGAAACCAUGUGGUUUAAUUCGAUGAUACGCGAGGAACCUUACCCGGGCUUAAAUUGCAAAUGAAUGUUCUGGAAACAGAUCAGCCGCAAGGCAUUUGUGAAGGUGCUGCAUGGUUGUCGUCAGCUCGUGCCGUGAGGUGUCGGCUUAAGUGCCAUAACGAGCGCAACCCUUAUCGAUAGUUACCAUCAGGUUAUGCUGGGGACUCUGUCGAGACUGCCGUCGUAAGAUGUGAGGAAGGUGGGGAUGACGUCAAAUCAGCACGGCCCUUACGUCCGGGGCUACACACGUGUUACAAUGGGGGGUACAGAAGGCAGCUACACGGCGACGUGAUGCUAAUCCCUAAAACCUCUCUCAGUUCGGAUUGGAGUCUGCAACCCGACUCCAUGAAGCUGGAUUCGCUAGUAAUCGCGCAUCAGCCACGGCGCGGUGAAUACGUUCCCGGGCCUUGUACU